RNAcentral lists this ribosomal RNA (253 nucleotides) under uncultured bacterium. RNAcentral's name for it is "partial 16S ribosomal RNA". It matches the Rfam family "Bacterial small subunit ribosomal RNA", at positions 524 to 776 of the family's 1533-position model. The record is from RNAcentral.
UACGAAGGGGGCUAGCGUUGCUCGGAAUCACUGGGCGUAAAGCGCACGUAGGCGGCUUUUUAAGUCAGGGGUGAAAUCCUGGAGCUCAACUCCAGAACUGCCUUUGAUACUGGGAAGCUUGAGUCCGGAAGAGGUGAGUGGAACUCCGAGUGUAGAGGUGAAAUUCGUAGAUAUUCGCAAGAACACCAGUGGCGAAGGCGGCUCACUGGCCCGGUACUGACGCUGAGGUGCGAAAGCGUGGGGAGCAAACAGG